Molecule: ribosomal RNA, 428 nt
Filed under: uncultured bacterium
Lineage: Bacteria
Description: bacterial SSU rRNA
Rfam family: Bacterial small subunit ribosomal RNA
Source: RNAcentral
CUAAGAAUAUUCCGCAAUGGACGAAAGUCUGACGGAGCGACGCCGCGUGGAUGAGGAAGGCCGAAAGGUUGUAAAGUCCUUUUGUCGAUGAAGAAUAAGUGGUGGAGGGAAUGCCAUCAUGAUGACGUUAGUCGGCGAAUAAGCCCCGGCUAAUUACGUGCCAGCAGCCGCGGUAACACGUAAGGGGCAAGCGUUGUUCGGAAUUAUUGGGCGUAAAGGGUACGUAGGCGGUUAUGUAAGCCCGGCGUGAAAUCCUGCAGCUUAACUGUAGAGCUGCGCUGGGAACUGCGUGACUUGAGUCAUGGAAGGGAAGUUAGAAUUCCAGGUGUAGGGGUGAAAUCUGUAGAUAUCUGGAAGAAUACCGGUGGCGAAGGCGAACUUCUGGCCAAUGACUGACGCUGAGGUACGAAAGUGCGGGGAGCAAACAG